This 446-nucleotide ribosomal RNA is filed under the name uncultured bacterium. RNAcentral's name for it is "partial 16S ribosomal RNA". It matches the Rfam family "Bacterial small subunit ribosomal RNA", at positions 338 to 795 of the family's 1533-position model. The record is from RNAcentral.
CCUACGGGGUGCAGCAGUCGAGAAUCAUUCACAAUGGGGGAAACCCUGAUGGUGCGACGCCGCGUGGGGGAAUGCAGGUCUUCGGAUUGUAAACCCCUGUCAUGUGGGAGCAAAUUAAAAAGAUAGUACCACAAGAAGAAGAGACGGCUAACUCUGUGCCAGCAGCCGCGGUAAUACAGAGGUCUCAAGCGUUGUGCGGAAUCACUGGGCGUAAAGGGUGCGUAGGCUGUUUUGUGAGUCGUGUGUGAAAGGCGCGGGCUCAACCCGCGGAGGGCAGGUGAUACUGCAUGACUAGAGUAAUGGAGGGGUAACCGGAAUUCCCGGUGUAGCAGUGAAAUGCGUAGAUAUCGAGAGGAACACUCGUGGCGAAGGCGGGUUACUGGACAUUAACUGACGCUGAGGCACGAAGGCCAGGGGAGCGAAAGGGAUUAGAUACCCUAGUAGUC